RNAcentral lists this ribosomal RNA (499 nucleotides) under uncultured bacterium. RNAcentral describes it as "bacterial SSU rRNA". It matches the Rfam family "Bacterial small subunit ribosomal RNA", at positions 28 to 514 of the family's 1533-position model. The record is from RNAcentral.
GAUGAACGCUAGCGAUAGGCCUAACACAUGCAAGUCGAGGGGCAGCAUAAGGAAGUAGCAAUACUUUCUGGUGGCGACCGGCGCACGGGUGAGUAACACGUAUGCAACCUGCCUUCAACAAGGGCAUAACCCGUUGAAAGACGGACUAAUACCCUAUAAUACAGGGGCCCCGCAUGGGGAUAUUUGUUAAAGAUUUAUCGGUUGAAGAUGGGCAUGCGUUCCAUUAGCUGGUUGGUGGGGUAACGGCCCACCAAGGCAACGAUGGAUAGGGGAACUGAGAGGUUUAUCCCCCACACUGGUACUGAGACACGGACCAGACUCCUACGGGAGGCAGCAGUGAGGAAUAUUGGUCAAUGGACGCAAGUCUGAACCAGCCACGUCGCGUGAAGGAAGACGGCCCUACGGGUUGUAAACUUCUUUUAUACGGGAAUAAAGUGCCCCACGUGUGGGGUUUUGCAAGUACCGUAUGAAUAAGGAUCGGCUAACUCCGUGCCAGCAG